Molecule: ribosomal RNA, 253 nt
Filed under: uncultured bacterium
Lineage: Bacteria
Description: partial 16S ribosomal RNA
Rfam family: Bacterial small subunit ribosomal RNA
Source: RNAcentral
GACGGAGGGUGCUAGCGUUGUUCGGAAUGACUGGGCGUAAAGGGCGCGUAGGCGGCUCGUGAAGUCGGGUGUGAAAGCCCGGGGCUCAACCCCGGAACGGCAUCCGAUAUUGGCGGGCUUGAGACCGGGAGAGGAGGGUGGAAUACCCAGUGUAGAGGUGAAAUUCGUAGAUAUUGGGUGGAACACCGGUGGCGAAAGCGGCUCUCUGGCCCGGAUCUGACGCUGAGGCGCGAAAGCGUGGGGAGCAAACAGG